CACCACCAGCGCCGCCACCACC
RNAcentral lists this non-coding RNA (22 nucleotides) under Arabidopsis thaliana (thale cress). The record is from RNAcentral. Lineage: Eukaryota; Viridiplantae; Streptophyta; Magnoliopsida; Brassicales; Brassicaceae.